GUCUCUACCUGGAGUUCUCUCCUUUGGAGUGUUUUGCAGGCCCUGAUCCUUGGGAUGGCCAAGAAAAUGCUGGAAAUUGGCUCAUGAUUUAUUCUGCGCUCUUAUUUCAUCUCAUCCUUUUAACACGGCACUUUGGUCUCCCUGCAGCUUGCUGGCCAAUUAGUCGAAUCAAAGGAGACACAUAGAAAUGCAGGCCUUAAAUGCAGCUCUGGUUCAGGCUUUGGUGGGAUCUGGACAGAUUCAUGCCCUAGAGGGUUGGGGAAUAACAUCUCCUUACCCUCCUCUGCCAGGCUGGACUUCAUCUCCUUCAUGUUCAAGAAAUCACCUCCCUGGGGGACAGGCAGCUCUCAAGUUCAGGAGCUUCUCUGUGAAGUGGAGAGUCUCUGAGCUUGGUGCAAAGAUGAAAGAGACUGGCCUUUUGCCACCUAAAAUAGUGAUAAAACUGCAUGAAUGGAAGCCCAAC
Molecule: long non-coding RNA, 463 nt
Organism: Gallus gallus (chicken)
Lineage: Eukaryota; Metazoa; Chordata; Aves; Galliformes; Phasianidae
Source: Ensembl